Molecule: long non-coding RNA, 333 nt
Filed under: Brassica napus (rape)
Lineage: Eukaryota; Viridiplantae; Streptophyta; Magnoliopsida; Brassicales; Brassicaceae
Description: long non-coding RNA (BNAP_LNC026854)
Source: RNAcentral
UCAUUCCUCACUUUCAAUAAUAGUGCAUAUCAACGUGACUUCCCUGAACGUAAUACGUAAGUACCUGGUCCACAUUUAACGGACGGACAUUCUUUUCUGAAGCUCUAGACAUUAUCGGACCCAUCAACCGUCGCAAAAUUGCAGAACCGCGAGCUUCACUUUUCUUAUGCUUAUGCUUGCGUCUUAUUCACCUUGGUGUUCGUCUUGCACCGCACCCCUUAUAUGCGCUUGUCUAAGCAUCUGAUCCAGAUGAAGCUUCGAUCUUUUAUUAUUUUCUUCCACAUCGAGGGCUUCACGAAAACCAUCUUCAAACUCUCUCUCUCCAGGAGCAAA